Long non-coding RNA from Nasonia vitripennis (jewel wasp), 976 nucleotides. RefSeq lists it as uncharacterized. The record is from RefSeq and is a predicted model, not a curated record. The transcript is spliced from 5 exons. NCBI's taxonomy places the organism in Eukaryota, Metazoa, Arthropoda, Insecta, Hymenoptera, Pteromalidae.
GCAAGAAAACACAAAGAAGCAAAAAAGGACAUUCUAUUUCACUAAAACGUAGACGAUCAAAACUUAUGAUCGACUCUGACUCAUCUGAUAAAUGCAGUAUAUUUCAAGCAAAAUGUUAUAUCAAGGAAAGAAAAGACACCUCGCCAACGACAAAGAGUUUCUUUUUCUAACAAGCAGAUAUUAGCAAAGUUGAGAAAAACACUGACAGAUACCUCCGAUGAAUCUGAUACUGAAAAUAAGAAAAAUACACCAUCAGUAGAAGACAAGACCAGGACAACACCUGUCAGAACUUCAAUUUGUUCUAAUAGUCAUAGUCAAGUAGACAAUUCUAUUGAAACUUGUAGCUCUGGUUGGGAUGACGUUCAUCAAUUGCCUCGGAAUAAAACUUCUGAACUAUGUGAACAAUCAUCAGAUGAGUGGGACUAUUCCAAUGAAAGCGAGUCUGAAAUAACUAAUUUGUGGCAAACUCUAGAUGGUGAAUUUGGAUCUCAAACAAGUAACACGUCAAACGUAAGGGAACACAAAGUAGCUUUGCUCGAGAUUCGUAAAAUCCUUCGGAGUUUAAUUAAAUGUUGAUUGUAAAAAAGUGUAUACACUUUUUUAGUAUAUAUGCAUGUAUAUAAUAUAUACAUACAUAUGUAUGUAACCUAUGGUUAUUGAUAAAAAAUAUGUCAUAAUAGAUAUGACACUUACAAUACUUAAAAAUCACACUGUUAUAAAAAAAAAAUAUUUUAUUCUUUGAACAUUUUUGUUAAAAAACGUUGCUAUAUAAUUAAAGAAUUAAUUUUCUUUAUAAAUAAAUAAAUUUGCGCUAUAAUAUAUAAUAUAUCCGAAUGAAUUCCGGGAAUCACCUGUACUCACCCUAUCAGCGUGGCCGAAUUUAGAAUUUCUUGGCGGCAAUUUUUGAAAAUUUUACAAAUAUUCUGAUAUACUGUAUAUACUGAUUUAUGACGUUAAUACAGAAAUUCUAUAAUUA